UUCAAACCGGUGCCAACUUGUAAAAUAAAAAAAAUAAAAAAAAGGAUGGGGAAGGAGUUGGCACCGGUUCUCCUUAAACCGGUGGCAAAUAAGCAAGUUAGCACCGUUCAAACCGGUGGCAUUUAAAAAAAAAACGCGGGUUUGCUGCUUCAACCUGUUCAAUUCAACGACACUUUCUUCAUUUCUCAUGUUUGCUUCAAAAAUUCCUAGAAAGUUUCGCCCUAUUCUCUUCUCCCUCCAUCUCCAUUGAAAGGUUGUGCGAGCUUUCUCCUCUCCAUUGAAGCAGUUAAGCUAAGCGACCUUACUCACAUUGCUACUUCAAUUCUCUGCAUUUCCUCUUCCCAAACCCUUCCUCCAUUGAAGCUUCCAUUGAAGCUUCGGCCUCCUCACGCACGCAGCCUGGUUGGGCUUUGUUCUGCCUCCUCACUCACGCACACACGCACUUAGUUCUUCUCUUCUGCCUCCCUCCAUGCAUUAUUGAAGCAGCUUCGACCUAGGGCUUGGCAAUUGCUACUUAACUACUCCAUUAAACUCGCAAGGCUCCCCCUCCAUUAAACGCACAAGGCUGCCCCUCCACAAAUGCUAAGAAAUGGGUGUCAAGGGCUUCUAGGGUAAGAUCAUCAGUUUGGAGAGUGAGCGGAAAGCAUCCUGGCUAUAUUGAAAAAGAUUCAGAGGAAUUUUUGGGCAAAGCAUUGACCUUGGCAUUGACCUUCUAUUUGAGAGUGUUGAGACUUUAUAGGUACUAAGGUUUUACAUCUCAUGGCGGAUGAUCACUACCGUAUUGGAGUGGAGGAUGUAGAGGAUGAUGAUGAUGAUUCAUCUGGGGAUGGGGACGAGUUGUAUGAUGUGAACAAGGAGCUUGAUUUGGGUGAGGCAGAAGAUCAGGCUCAAGAUGCUUUGGAUCGUAUGCUUGAUGAAUUUGAUAUUGCAGCUGAACAAGCGCCUCCUAUCGAGAACGCAAUGUCUGAGUCGUUCGGCGAGGAUCAAAGUGGAGGGGGGUGAAGGGACCAGCGCAGAAAAAGCUGAGGGGUCCGACUACAAGUUUCAAGAAACCUGUCGGUCCAAUGGUCUUGGAGUAUGACAGGGUAGGACAACCUACAGGCAAAUGGCGUCGUCAGUAUGCUGUUCAAGUUGGGAUUUGUGCGCGCAAAAUCCCCAUUACUCUUCGUUUGAGCGACGUACCUAUUGGCUUGAUAUACACGUUUUGGAAUGAUACACGGAGUCUAUUUAACAUUCCAAAUGAGUACGCCAAGCAAAGGGUGUUUGAAUCCUUACUUGCGACAAGAUUCAGAGGGUUCAAGACCACCUUAGUUCGUCGGUUUAUCACAAAGAAGCUUGUGAGAAAACCAAAGAACAAGAAAGAAGGUGGCAUGGAUGAAGAAGUCAUCGAUGAAGAGAAACUCCCAUGGCAAAUAUGGCCUAGUGUAUCAAAGGAAAAUUGGGAUGCUUUCGUUCUUCAAAAAAGCAAAAAAGAAGCAAUUGAAAUAAGAGAGCAGAAUUCCAAGAAUGCAUUGCACAAGCAAUACUACCAUCAUAUGGGGUGUAUGACGUAUGAUGAAUGGAGGGAGACGUGGGUGAGUGAGGGAGUAUACCCCACUUCGCUACUAGGGUCCUCCACUGUGCCCUCUGACUCCACAACCAGUACUUUGGUGAGUCGUGCUGGAGAUUUCUUCUGUUCUUUGCAUUCUCGUGACAAGAAAACCGGAAAAUGGUCCAUCAAGGCUCCGGAAACAAAAGAAAUGGCAGAUAAACUUCUUAAUUGAGUACACUGGAGAGCUUGUUGAAGGCAAGCUCGUCCCAACAGUGGAGAAGGACCCUUUCACCUUGGCUUUGGGAAAGCCCUACCAUCCAGGACGCGUAUUGGGUGCAGGGGGGAGCUUGCUAGGAUGGGAGAAGGUGAUGGGUCCGAAAUAUACCAAAUCAGGGAGAUCCCGGGCAAGUGUGAACUCACCGGUCAACUAGGAUGCUACGGUGGCAUCAAUUAAGGAACAAGUGCGCAACGAGAUGCGAGAAGAGUUCAAUGCAUGGGCAAAGCAGAUGAACUUGCCGAGCUUGCCUGUCUCCUCGACUACACCGGUCAACUCUUUUAGUUACCCACGAAAACAAGGAGAAGAUGAGAUACAUGCAGACGAUGAGGUUGGUAAUCCUGCACAUGCGUACUUGAGGGAGCUUGAAAAUCCAACACCUCAUGACUUUCCGGUUCUACAGUUUUGCCAGGGACAAACGAGAAAUCCGUUCACGAGCGAGGAACUCAAUGUAAUUCGAGACAUGUUGGCGGCCUACAUCACAUUUAAUUUGUAAAUAUCAUUUAUUUCUAUUUUAACUAGCUUAGUGUACUACAUUAUUACUAAUUAUAUUUGUUUGUUUGUAGUUAUGACACAUUUUCCUAAUUAAUAUCAU
Chenopodium quinoa (quinoa) is the source of this 2400-nucleotide RNA transcript. RefSeq lists it as uncharacterized. The record is from RefSeq and is a predicted model, not a curated record. Lineage: Eukaryota; Viridiplantae; Streptophyta; Magnoliopsida; Caryophyllales; Amaranthaceae. The transcript has 10 exons.